GGUGUGCUGAUCUCAUCAGAUCUGCUUUCUCAUCAGGUAGUUUCCUUUGUCACCAUAUUGAAUUGUUAGUUUUUGCUUUUCAAGAAACAAACUUGUAUUGGCAAUAUUAAUUCAUAGUAUUAUUUUUAGACAUUGAAGUUAACCCCUGAUUUUAUAGUGGUCAUCUGAAAAAGAAUUGUUCGCUAAAUAUUCAGAAGAAAACUUAGUGUUCCUUUGACAGCCGAAAAGCUUGACAUUAUUGAAAGGCUUUAUCACCAAGCCAUGUAACUUGAAAUGGAGUUCUUCAAAUGUGCAGCCACUUUCUCAGCUCACUGUGGUUCCUUGUGGUGAUGAGUCUAAGAUGUUGCCAAGGCUAAGGCAAUGGAAUUUGAAAA
RNAcentral lists this unclassified non-coding RNA (374 nucleotides) under Hevea brasiliensis (rubber tree). Lineage: Eukaryota; Viridiplantae; Streptophyta; Magnoliopsida; Malpighiales; Euphorbiaceae. The record is from RNAcentral.